GAGUUUGAUCAUGGCUCAGAUUGAACGCUGGCGGCAUGCCUUACACAUGCAAGUCGAACGGCAGCAUGAUCUAGCUUGCUAGAUUGAUGGCGAGUGGCGAACGGGUGAGUAAUACAUCGGAGCGUGCCCUGUAGUGGGGGAUAACUAGUCGAAAGAUUAGCUAAUACCGCAUACGACCUGAGGGUGAAAGUGGGGGACCGCAAGGCCUCAUGCUAUAGGAGCGGCCGAUGUCUGAUUAGCUAGUUGGUGGGGUAAAGGCCCACCAAGGCGACGAUCAGUAGCUGGUCUGAGAGGACGAUCAGCCACACUGGGACUGAGACACGGCCCAGACUCCUACGGGAGGCAGCAGUGGGGAAUUUUGGACAAUGGGGGCAACCCUGAUCCAGCAAUGCCGCGUGUGUGAAGAAGGCCUUCGGGUUGUAAAGCACUUUUGUCCGGAAAGAAAUCGCACUUACUAAUAUUAGGUGUGGAUGACGGUACCGGAAGAAUAAGGACCGGCUAACUACGUGCCAGCAGCCGCGGUAAUACGUAGGGUCCAAGCGUUAAUCGGAAUUACUGGGCGUAAAGCGUGCGCAGGCGGUUGUGCAAGACCGAUGUGAGAUCCCCGGGCUUAACCUGGGAAUUGCAUUGGUGACUGCACGGCUAGAGUGUGUCAGAGGGGGGGUAGAAUUCCACGUGUAGCAGUGAAAUGCGUAGAGAUGUGGAGGAAUACCGAUGGCGAAGGCAGCCCCCUGGGAUAACACUGACGCUCAUGCACGAAAGCGUGGGGAACAAACAGGAUUAGAUACCCUGGUAGUCCACGCCCUAAACGAUGUCAACUAGUUGUUGGGGAUUCAUUUCCUUAGUAACGUAGCUAACGCGUGAAGUUGACCGCCUGGGGAGUACGGUCGCAAGAUUAAAACUCAAAGGAAUUGACGGGGACCCGCACAAGCGGUGGAUGAUGUGGAUUAAUUCGAUGCAACGCGAAAAACCUUACCUACCCUUGACAUGCCACUAACGAAGCAGAGAUGCAUUAGGUGCUCGAAAGAGAAAGUGGACACAGGUGCUGCAUGGCUGUCGUCAGCUCGUGUCGUGAGAUGUUGGGUUAAGUCCCGCAACGAGCGCAACCCUUGUCUCUAGUUGCUACGAAAGGGCACUCUAGAGAGACUGCCGGUGACAAACCGGAGGAAGGUGGGGAUGACGUCAAGUCCUCAUGGCCCUUAUGGGUAGGGCUUCACACGUCAUACAAUGGUGCAUACAGAGGGUUGCCAAGCCGCGAGGUGGAGCUAAUCCCAGAAAAUGCAUCGUAGUCCGGAUCGUAGUCUGCAACUCGACUACGUGAAGCUGGAAUCGCUAGUAAUCGCGGAUCAGCAUGCCGCGGUGAAUACGU
This 1369-nucleotide ribosomal RNA is filed under the name unidentified marine bacterioplankton. RNAcentral describes it as "bacterial SSU rRNA". It matches the Rfam family "Bacterial small subunit ribosomal RNA", at positions 9 to 1371 of the family's 1533-position model. The record is from RNAcentral.